GCAAGCGUUGUUCGGGAAUUAUUGGGCGUAAAGCGCGUGUAGGCGGUUUGUUAAGUCUGAUGUGAAAGCCCUGGGCUCAACCCAGGGAAGUGCAUUGGAAACUGGCAGACUUGAAUACGGGAGAGGGCAGUGGAAUUCCUGGUGUAGGAGUGAAAUCCGUAGAUAUCAGGAGGAACACCGGCGGCGAAGGCGGCUGCCUGGACCGAUAUUGACGCUGAGACGCGAAAGCGUGGGUAGC
This 238-nucleotide ribosomal RNA is filed under the name uncultured bacterium. RNAcentral describes it as "partial 16S ribosomal RNA". It matches the Rfam family "Bacterial small subunit ribosomal RNA", at positions 534 to 769 of the family's 1533-position model. The record is from RNAcentral.